UACAGGGGGUGCAACCGUUGCUCGGAAUCAUUGGGCGUAAAGCGCACGUAGGCGGUUUGUUAUGUCGGAUGUGAAAGCCCUUGGCUCAACUGAGGAAGUGCAUCCGAAACUGGCAAGCUAGAGUACUAAAGAGGGUCGCGGAAUUCCCGGUGUAGAGGUGAAAUUCGUAGAUAUCGGGAGGAACACCAGUGGCGAAGGCGAGUCCCUGGACAUCUCCUGACACUGAGGCACGAAAGCUAGGGGAGCAAACAGG
Molecule: ribosomal RNA, 253 nt
Filed under: uncultured bacterium
Lineage: Bacteria
Description: partial 16S ribosomal RNA
Rfam family: Bacterial small subunit ribosomal RNA
Source: RNAcentral